This 429-nucleotide ribosomal RNA is filed under the name Actinomycetes bacterium. RNAcentral's name for it is "Actinobacteria bacterium partial 16S ribosomal RNA". It matches the Rfam family "Bacterial small subunit ribosomal RNA", at positions 355 to 776 of the family's 1533-position model. Lineage: Bacteria; Bacillati; Actinomycetota; Actinomycetes. The record is from RNAcentral.
UAGGGAAUCUUCCGCAAUGGGCGAAAGCCUGACGGAGCAACGCCGCGUGAGUGAUGAAGGUCUUCGGAUCGUAAAACUCUGUUCUUAGGGAAGAACAAAUGUGUAAGUAACUAUGCACGUCUUGACGGUACCUAAUCAGAAAGCCACGGCUAACUACGUGCCAGCAGCCGCGGUAAUACGUAGGUGGCAAGCGUUAUCCGGAAUUAUUGGGCGUAAAGCGCGCGUAGGCGGUUUUUUAAGUCUGAUGUGAAAGCCCACGGCUCAACCGUGGAGGGUCAUGGGAAACUGGAAAACUAGAGUGCAGAAGAGGAAAGUGGAAUUCCAGGUGUAGCGGUGAAAUGCGCAGAGAUAUGGAGGAACACCAGUGGCGAAGGCGACUAUCUGGUCUGUAACUGACGCUGAUGUGCGAAAGCGGGGGGAUCAAACAGG